AGCAGUCGCCGCGGUAAUACAGAGGGUGCGAGCGUUAAUCGGAUUUACUGGGCGUAAAGCGUGCGUAGGCGGCUUUUUAAGUCGGAUGUGAAAUCCCUGAGCUUAACUUAGGAAUUGCAUUCGAUACUGGGAAGCUAGAGUAUGGGAGAGGAUGGUAAAAUUCCAGGUGUAGCGGUGAAAUGCGUAGAGAUCUGGAGGAAUACCGAUGGCGAAGGCAGCCAUCUGGCCUAAUACUGACGCUGAGGUACGAAAGCAUGGGGAGCAAACAGGAUUAGAUACCCCAGUAGUCCCUGUCUCUUAUAC
This 303-nucleotide ribosomal RNA is filed under the name uncultured bacterium. RNAcentral describes it as "partial 16S ribosomal RNA". It matches the Rfam family "Bacterial small subunit ribosomal RNA", at positions 507 to 807 of the family's 1533-position model. The record is from RNAcentral.